CAGGGUUUGGCUACUAGACUACAAUUCAGAGCUUGGGGACAGGUGUCUCGUCCCUUCACAUUGCAUCCUGUGGGGAGCAACUGUUAUGUCGAUUCAUCUCUAUAGAAAAAAUCCGAAGAAGUCAUGGUAUCGUUGUAUUUGGAGAUACUGCAACCUCAACUGGACAAUACCCUGAGUAACCUGAACUAACUCAGAAAUUGACACUGCUUUGAGCAGAGGAUGAACUAAAUGAAAUCCCAAUGUCCCUUCCAGACUUGUGCAGCAGAUCCACAUAUCUGCCUGAGAAACAGGAUACUGCAGCUAAAUCCGUAUGAAAUCUGAAGUCAGA
Corapipo altera (White-ruffed manakin) is the source of this 328-nucleotide long non-coding RNA. RefSeq lists it as uncharacterized. The record is from RefSeq and is a predicted model, not a curated record. The transcript has 3 exons. NCBI's taxonomy places the organism in Eukaryota, Metazoa, Chordata, Aves, Passeriformes, Pipridae.